UUUUAUACUAUUACCAUGUGCUUUGCGAACUGGAAAAUAGCGUAUACCUUUGAAUUGUUAUCAUUUGUAUCGUAUACACUCGACACAAUUCUUUCUUUUGACGUUGUAUACUUUAGCUUAUAUGUACUUAAAUAUUAGAAAUAUUUUAUAUUCAUUUCCUCUUAUUAAUCAGUGGCGUGUAAAUUACUUUUUCCUCGUGUUCAACGUAUGUUCGUAUCCAAUAUGGUAUUGUCACUACAAUACAAAUAGGUCUUCAGAAAAGCGGUACUCGAUCAGUGGCGUAGCAAGGUAACCAAGAGCCCUGGGGAUUUGAGGCCCCCCUGACCUUGAGGGCCUCUAGGCACUGCCCCGUCUAGCCCCUUGGUAGUUACUCAAUGUGGAACCCGCGCAAUGGGAUGGCCUGUGCUAGUAUGGUAAAUCCAAAUCGUAGGAACAUGCGUUGAGCUUCUUCUUUUUUUUUUGCAUACACUGCCUUUUCCAGAAUAGGGCACCUUUUUAUCAAUUAAAAUUAGAUCUGAAAUGCAGCGGAAGAGUUGUGGUUUAAGUGUAAAGCGUUUAGUUCUGUCAUGGAAGACAGCGCUCAACUUUUCUUAUAACUUCAAUUCACUAUUCCAGAAAUAGGCUUAAGGGCCAGCCGAGUUUAAAAUCAGAUUAGAUAUGUAUGUACUUAAAAUAAUGCGGUUUUCAUUCCAAAAGAGAACAGACAUGCAGACAGAAUAGCUAAAGGAAAGAGAACAUGAGCAAGCACAACAAUGUUUAAUUGUAAUCGGGCACCAAAGGACGCCACACUUGUAUUGUGCAUUUCAUAUAUACGAGUAUGUUAACGUGUGCAUGUGUAGUAGUAUUGUCUUUAUAGAACUGGGGAAGUAUCGCUAAGUGUAGGUGUUUUAGUUUUGCCUAUCUGUUUUUUGAUCCUUGUAGUGUUUUAAAAGUAGGUUUUAAUGGUGGCAUUCAUAUGUAGUGAUUAGUUUUCGGUAGUAAUCAUGUGUAGUAUUUAGAAUCCGACCGAAAUUGGUUUCUCAGCCGAAACAGAAACCGAAAUUUCGGUCCUGGCCUCAGUUUCGGCCUAAACCGAAACUGUAACUUACACAAUCAUAUUUAAUUUAAGUUUUUAUAAUGCAAUUAAAUUAUUUACAACAGUAUUAAGCAGUAAAGUGAAGUAAUUGAAGAUAGAUUAGAAAUUUUUGGGUUUGGGAAUUUCGAGAACAUAUGUUUGGUUGAGGAUUCCUUUAAACUUCUUUCGUGUGUGACUUCAAAAUUAAACUAUGAUAAAAUUCAUGAACACUGAGUUUCGGUCUAACGGACGAACGAAAUGUCCUUGGACAACGAUUCUUUUAUCAGAUUGUAAGUACUGAAUUUGUAUAUCAGUCACAUUUAUAAUUUAUAGGAUUAGCAUACAGGAAAACUGCAAAAAUGUAAUAUUUGUACUUUGAUGUGCUAAUUUUCGGUUGUUUUAGGUGUCUAGCAGGCGAAUAAAUUGUUCUAGGACAACGAUUCUUUCAUCAGAUUGUGCCUAGCAGGCGAACAAAUUGUCCUAGGACAACGUUUCUUUUAUCAGAUUGUGUCUAGCAGGCGAACAAAUUGCCCUAGGACAACGAUUCUUUCAUCAGAUUGUAUCUAGCAGGCGAACAAAUUGCCCUAGGACAACGAUUCUUUCAUCAGAUUAUGAGUGGCUAGCGGGCGAACGGAAUAUCCUAGGACAAUUUGAUCAAAUUGCGUCUAGCGGCGAACGCGAUGUCGUAGAACAACCAUUCUUUCAUAAGUCUUUCAUAAUUCAAAUUGUAUACCAUUGUUAUAUACAACAUUUGAAGAAGAAAAUAAUACAACAUUUGUGUUUAAUACAAGCGGAACCAACAUAUGUGGUAUUUUUCCACAGUAAGUUAAUUAAAAUCCUUGCUUUCAAAUAAUGUUGUAAACUGAUAAAUUUAUAACUUGCAAUAUAUUAGUAAUAGCAUUUUGGUCGUGCGCAGAUAGAAGAAUGCCCCUCCAACUGCGGGUCGGUUAUCAAUUCUCUUACCUGCUUAUUCCGGCUUAGUCGGUUCGGCGCUGUCUCGUGGUGCGCACGUGUUUUGUUCAUUCAUCAAACAUGGUGACGAUUUUACGCGUGUCUUAAUAUUUUAAUUCUGUAGUAAUACUAGAAUCGGUUGACCAUCAGAGACAUUUAGUAAUAACAGCCCAGUGUAGACACAACGAGUUAUUUGAGUGAUCCUUUACGAUGCGUGCGUGGCGUCCGUCGGAUAUGUUCCGAUGCCUAUGUGUUUGAUGUGAGAAAAAGUUUUCCAAUUGCGAUAUCCGCGUGGAAUAGUAAAGUAGUGCGUAUCAUCAAUUCUACUUACAAUUUGCGGAAUGGUGUUAGUGCGCUUUAGUUUAUUAUGGAUGGAAGAACAAAGAAGUAAGUAACAGGAAGUAAAACUUUACUUUUAUUUAACUUUUUAAAUCUUUCAGGUAUCAUUACUGCUGAAUAACAAUUGUAAAUGAUUCAGUUAAUAAAAUAUAAUUUAAUCUUA
Molecule: long non-coding RNA, 2507 nt
Organism: Dalotia coriaria
Lineage: Eukaryota; Metazoa; Arthropoda; Insecta; Coleoptera; Staphylinidae
Exons: 7
Source: RefSeq, a predicted model, not a curated record